GUCAAGUCUGAGGCAGUUUAGGCUGUACUGAGGCUUUGGUUUUGCCAAGACUGGUAUCAUACAGGUGACCCCUUCGAUCUGCCUUCCCCACUUGAAUUCUCAAUAACUUUCAAGAGCCAGGUGAGAAGAGGGCAGUGCUAUAGGAGGAGUGACCACUGGAGAUAUGCCAGUCCAGUGAAGUUGUAUUGUGAUGGUCAUCAUUUGAAUUCAAGUGGAGGAAAAAAAAUCUCAUA
Long non-coding RNA from Physeter macrocephalus (sperm whale), 233 nucleotides. RefSeq lists it as uncharacterized. The transcript is spliced from 3 exons. Lineage: Eukaryota; Metazoa; Chordata; Mammalia; Artiodactyla; Physeteridae. The record is from RefSeq and is a predicted model, not a curated record.